UUAAACAUGCCCGUAGUCGUUUGUCUGCCGGGGGUGAUCGAUCCGCCCGCGGGGUGUGUAUUGACACAGCCCGGCAUACACGCGGGUAUCACACCCCGCACCUAUAUGUAGAAUGUGUACUCGCCUAUAUUACUUUGAGGAAAUUAAAGUGUUCCGAGCAUGCGCACGCACCGAACACAAUAGCAUGGAAUAGCAGGAGUGGAUCGUAUUUGCGUUGCAGGUGGCUGAUACGUAGUAAUUGCAGAUAGGGAUAAUUAGUGGCAUUCAGAUUUUGCAGCCAGAGGUGAAAUUCUCGGAUUUGCUGAAGAUGAUCUACCGCGAAAGCAUUUGUCAAGUAUGUUUUCAUUGAUCAAGGACUAAGGUUAGGGGAUCGAAGACGAUCAGAUACCGUCCUAGUCUUAACAAUAAACGAUGCCGGCUAGGAAUUGAAUGGUUUCGUCAGCGUGAUCCUUCCAGCAUUUUAUGAAAAAUCAAAGCAUUUGGGUUCCGGGGGGAGUAUGGUCGCAAGGCUGAAACUUAAAGGAAUUGACGGAAGGGCACUACCAGGAGUGGAGCAUGCGGCCUUAAUUUGACUCAACACGGGGAAGCUUACCGGGUCCAGACAUAGUAAGGAU
RNAcentral lists this ribosomal RNA (614 nucleotides) under uncultured marine eukaryote. RNAcentral describes it as "bacterial SSU rRNA". It matches the Rfam family "Eukaryotic small subunit ribosomal RNA", at positions 619 to 1240 of the family's 1831-position model. The record is from RNAcentral.